AGGUCAUAAGGUGAGAGGCAUUCCUGCUGGCAGGAAAAGCCUCUUGCCUUAGUGACCUGCACACACGUGAGCAAGUAGUGAUUUUGUAAAACAAAAUCAACGGAUUGCGAAUGUGUGUAGAAUUGUGAGAGUUGCGUAGCAACGAAACAAUUCGUGGU
This 158-nucleotide small RNA is filed under the name uncultured Agathobacter sp. Its description in RNAcentral is "Clostridiales-1 RNA". It matches the Rfam family "Clostridiales-1 RNA". Lineage: Bacteria; Bacillati; Bacillota; Clostridia; Lachnospirales; Lachnospiraceae. The record is from RNAcentral.